This 95-nucleotide transfer RNA is filed under the name Planctomycetota bacterium. RNAcentral's name for it is "Planctomycetes bacterium tRNA-Sec". It matches the Rfam family "Selenocysteine transfer RNA". Lineage: Bacteria; Pseudomonadati; Planctomycetota. RNAcentral also lists the same sequence under 1 other name. The record is from RNAcentral.
GGGAAUGUCAGGGUCCUGGUGGAUCCCGCGGGCUUCAAACCCGUUGUGGGGCCUUCAUGGUCCCGGGUGGGUUCGAUUCCCAUACAUUCCCGCCA